GUCCAGACUCCUACGGGAGGCAGCAGUGGGGAAUAUUGCACAAUGGGGGAAACCCUGAUGCAGCGACGCCGCGUGAAGGACGAAGUAUUUCGGUACGUAAACUUCUAUCAGCAGGGAAGAAAAUGACGGUACCUGACCAAGAAGCCCCGGCUAACUACGUGCCAGCAGCCGCGGUAAUACGUAGGGGGCAAGCGUUAUCCGGAUUUACUGGGUGUAAAGGGAGCGUAGACGGCCAUGCAAGUCUGAUGUGAAAACCCGGGGCUCAACCCCGGGACUGCAUUGGAAACUGUGCGGCUGGAGUGUCGGAGAGGCAAGUGGAAUUCCUAGUGUAGCGGUGAAAUGCGUAGAUAUUAGGAGGAACACCAGUGGCGAAGGCGGCUUACUGGACUGUAACUGACGUUGAGGCUCGAAGGCGUGGGGAGCAAACAGGAUUAGAUACCCCCGUAC
This 447-nucleotide ribosomal RNA is filed under the name uncultured bacterium. RNAcentral describes it as "bacterial SSU rRNA". It matches the Rfam family "Bacterial small subunit ribosomal RNA", at positions 329 to 793 of the family's 1533-position model. The record is from RNAcentral.